GAUGAAGAACGUAGCGAAAUGCGAUACUUGGUGUGAAUUGCAGAAUCCCGUGAACCAUCGAGUCUUUGAACGCAAGUUGCGCCCGAAGCCAUUAGGCCGAGGGCACGCCUGCCUGGGCGUCACACGUCGUUGCCCCCCCAUCUACUCCUUCGGGAUUGCGGGGGGCGAAUGAUGGCCUCCCGUGCGCCUCGUCGCGCGGUUGGCCUAAAUGCCAAGUCCUCGGCGACGCACGCCACGACAAUCGGUGGUUGCGAAACCUCGGUUGCCCGUCGUGUGCGGUCGUCGCGCAUCGAGGGCUCGAAAAAAUUGCCGGGCUUCGGCUCGACUUUCAACGCGACCCCAGGUCAGGCGGGGUUACCCGCUGAAUUUAAGCAUAUCAAUAAGCGGAGGA
This 391-nucleotide unclassified non-coding RNA is filed under the name soil metagenome. RNAcentral describes it as "partial contains 5.8S ribosomal RNA, internal transcribed spacer 2, and large subunit ribosomal RNA". The stretch from base 1 to 122 matches the Rfam family "5.8S ribosomal RNA", at positions 35 to 154 of the family's 154-position model. The record is from RNAcentral.